UGCAGUAAUGCAUUGAGCUUACCAAUACUAAUUGACCGUGAGGCUUGACCAUAUAAUAG
This 59-nucleotide ribosomal RNA is filed under the name Ignatzschineria cameli. Its description in RNAcentral is "partial 23S ribosomal RNA". The record is from RNAcentral. Lineage: Bacteria; Pseudomonadati; Pseudomonadota; Gammaproteobacteria; Cardiobacteriales; Ignatzschineriaceae.